AGUGGCAGACGAGGUAGUAAUACGCAGGUACGCACCGAAGAGUCGGGCAUAGCCAGCCGAAAGGUUGGGUAAUUCCCGAUGGUCCCCGAGAGUAAUCGAGGGGUAAAGGAGUAAUCCGCUCUUUGAGCGGCCUGCGGCGCAUCAGCUUGUUGGCAGGGUAACGGCCUACCAAGGCAAUGACGCGUAGGGGAGCUGAGGGGCUGACCCCCACCGAUAGCACUGAGACACGGGCUAUACACCUACGGGUGGCUGCAGUCGAGAAUCUUCCGCAAUGGGCGAAAGCCUGACGGAGCGACGCCGCGUGGUUGAUGAAGUCCUUCGGGACGUAAAAACCUUUUAUGGGGGAGGAAGUAAUUGACGUUACCCCAUGAAUAAGAGGCUCCUAACUCUGUGCCAGCAGGAGCGGUAAUACAGAGGCCUCAAGCGUUACCCGGAAUCAUUGGGCGUAAAGGGUGUGUAGGCGGCGUUGUUAGUCUUUUGUAAAAGCUCUCUGGCUCAACCGGGGAAAUGCGAAAGA
RNAcentral lists this ribosomal RNA (517 nucleotides) under uncultured bacterium. Its description in RNAcentral is "bacterial SSU rRNA". It matches the Rfam family "Bacterial small subunit ribosomal RNA", at positions 94 to 630 of the family's 1533-position model. The record is from RNAcentral.